RNAcentral lists this ribosomal RNA (1540 nucleotides) under Escherichia coli. RNAcentral describes it as "partial 23S ribosomal RNA". It matches the Rfam family "Bacterial large subunit ribosomal RNA", at positions 165 to 1746 of the family's 2925-position model. Lineage: Bacteria; Pseudomonadati; Pseudomonadota; Gammaproteobacteria; Enterobacterales; Enterobacteriaceae. The record is from RNAcentral.
CAUAGGUUAAUGAGGCGAACCGGGGGAACUGAAACAUCUAAGUACCCCGAGGAAAAGAAAUCAACCGAGAUUCCCCCAGUAGCGGCGAGCGAACGGGGAGCAGCCCAGAGCCUGAAUCAGUGUGUGUGUUAGUGGAAGCGUCUGGAAAGGCGCGCGAUACAGGGUGACAGCCCCGUACACAAAAAUGCACAUGCUGUGAGCUCGAUGAGUAGGGCGGGACACGUGGUAUCCUGUCUGAAUAUGGGGGGACCAUCCUCCAAGGCUAAAUACUCCUGACUGACCGAUAGUGAACCAGUACCGUGAGGGAAAGGCGAAAAGAACCCCGGCGAGGGGAGUGAAAAAGAACCUGAAACCGUGUACGUACAAGCAGUGGGAGCACGCUUAGGCGUGUGACUGCGUACCUUUUGUAUAAUGGGUCAGCGACUUAUAUUCUGUAGCAAGGUUAACCGAAUAGGGGAGCCGAAGGGAAACCGAGUCUUAACUGGGCGUUAAGUUGCAGGGUAUAGACCCGAAACCCGGUGAUCUAGCCAUGGGCAGGUUGAAGGUUGGGUAACACUAACUGGAGGACCGAACCGACUAAUGUUGAAAAAUUAGCGGAUGACUUGUGGCUGGGGGUGAAAGGCCAAUCAAACCGGGAGAUAGCUGGUUCUCCCCGAAAGCUAUUUAGGUAGCGCCUCGUGAAUUCAUCUCCGGGGGUAGAGCACUGUUUCGGCAAGGGGGUCAUCCCGACUUACCAACCCGAUGCAAACUGCGAAUACCGGAGAAUGUUAUCACGGGAGACACACGGCGGGUGCUAACGUCCGUCGUGAAGAGGGAAACAACCCAGACCGCCAGCUAAGGUCCCAAAGUCAUGGUUAAGUGGGAAACGAUGUGGGAAGGCCCAGACAGCCAGGAUGUUGGCUUAGAAGCAGCCAUCAUUUAAAGAAAGCGUAAUAGCUCACUGGUCGAGUCGGCCUGCGCGGAAGAUGUAACGGGGCUAAACCAUGCACCGAAGCUGCGGCAGCGACGCUUAUGCGUUGUUGGGUAGGGGAGCGUUCUGUAAGCCUGUGAAGGUGUGCUGUGAGGCAUGCUGGAGGUAUCAGAAGUGCGAAUGCUGACAUAAGUAACGAUAAAGCGGGUGAAAAGCCCGCUCGCCGGAAGACCAAGGGUUCCUGUCCAACGUUAAUCGGGGCAGGGUGAGUCGACCCCUAAGGCGAGGCCGAAAGGCGUAGUCGAUGGGAAACAGGUUAAUAUUCCUGUACUUGGUGUUACUGCGAAGGGGGGACGGAGAAGGCUAUGUUGGCCGGGCGACGGUUGUCCCGGUUUAAGCGUGUAGGCUGGUUUUCCAGGCAAAUCCGGAAAAUCAAGGCUGAGGCGUGAUGACGAGGCACUACGGUGCUGAAGCAACAAAUGCCCUGCUUCCAGGAAAAGCCUCUAAGCAUCAGGUAACAUCAAAUCGUACCCCAAACCGACACAGGUGGUCAGGUAGAGAAUACCAAGGCGCUUGAGAGAACUCGGGUGAAGGAACUAGGCAAAAUGGUGCCGUAACUUCGGGAGAAGG